This 254-nucleotide ribosomal RNA is filed under the name uncultured bacterium. Its description in RNAcentral is "partial 16S ribosomal RNA". It matches the Rfam family "Bacterial small subunit ribosomal RNA", at positions 524 to 776 of the family's 1533-position model. The record is from RNAcentral.
UACGUAGGCAGCAAGCGUUGUUCGGAGUUACUGGGCGUAAAGGGUGUGUAGGCGGUUGUUUAAGUUUGGUGUGAAAUCUCCCGGCUCAACUGGGAGGGUGCGCCGAAUACUGAAUGACUUCGAGUGCGGGAGAGGAGAGUGGAAUUCCUGGUGUAGCAGUGAAAUGCGUAGAGAUCAUGAGGAAGACCAGUGGCGAAGGCGGGUCUCUGGACAGUUCCUGACACUGAGGCACGAAGGCCAGGGGAGCAAACGGG